AACGAACGCUGGCGGCAUGCCUAACACAUGCAAGUCGAACGAGACCUUCGGGUCUAGUGGCGCACGGGUGCGUAACGCGUGGGAACCUGCCCUUAGGUUCGGAAUAACUCCCCGAAAGGGGUCCUAAUACCGGAUAAUGUCUUCGGACCAAAGAUUUAUCGCCUUUGGAUGGGCCCGCGUUGGAUUAGCUAGUUGGUAGGGUAAAAGCCUACCAAGGCGACGAUGCAUAGCUGGUCUGAGAGGAUGAUCAGCCACACUGGGACUGAGACACGGCCCAGACUCGUACGGGAGGCAGCAGUGGGGAAUAUUGGACAAUGGGCGAAGGCCUGAUCCAGCAAUGCCGCGUGAGUGAUGAAGGCCUUAGGGUUGUAAAGCUCUUUUACCCGGGAUGAUAAUGACAGUACCGGGAGAAUAAGCUCCGGCUAACUCCGUG
RNAcentral lists this ribosomal RNA (433 nucleotides) under uncultured bacterium. Its description in RNAcentral is "partial 16S ribosomal RNA". It matches the Rfam family "Bacterial small subunit ribosomal RNA", at positions 29 to 507 of the family's 1533-position model. The record is from RNAcentral.